AAAGUGGAGCAAUCCAUGAGUACAGUGGCGUACGGGUGAGUAACACGUGGAUCAUCUACCUCUUAGUGGGGAAUAACCCUGGGAAACCGGGGCUAAUACCGCAUAAGCUCUAGCGAGGAAAGCAGCAAUGCGCUGAGAGAGGAGUCCGCGGCCGAUUAGCUAGUUGGCAGGGUAAAAGCCUACCAAGGCAUAGAUCGGUAGCCGGCCUGAGAGGGCACACGGCCACACUGGCACUGAAACACGGGCCAGACUCCUACGGGAGGCAGCAGUGGGGAAUCUUGCACAAUGGGGGCAACCCUGAUGCAGCGACGCCGCGUGAGCGAUGAAGCCCUUCGGGGUGUAAAGCUCUUUCGGCAGGGAAGAUAAUGACGGUACCUGCAGAAGCAGCUGCGGCUAACUACGUGCCAGCAGCCGCGGUAAUACGUAGGCAGCGAGCGUUGUUCGGAGUUACUGGGCGUAAAGGGUGUGUAGGCGGUUGUUUAAGUUUGGUGUGAAAUCUCCCGGCUCAACUGGGAGGGUGCGCCGAAUACUGAAUGACUUGGAGUGCGGGAGAGGAAAGUGGAAUUCCUGGUGUAGCGGUGAAAUGCGUAGAUAUCAGGAGGAACACCGGUGGUGUAGACGGCUUUCUGGACCGUAACUGACGCUGAGACACGAAAGCGUGGGUAGCAAACAGGAUUAGAUACCCUGGUAGUCCACGCCCUAAACGAUGCAUAUUUGGUGUGGGCAGUUCAUUCUGUCCGUGCCGGAGCUAACGCGUUAAAUAUGCCGCCUGGGGAGUACAGUCGCAAGGCUGAAACUC
RNAcentral lists this ribosomal RNA (799 nucleotides) under uncultured Bacillota bacterium. RNAcentral's name for it is "bacterial SSU rRNA". It matches the Rfam family "Bacterial small subunit ribosomal RNA", at positions 71 to 902 of the family's 1533-position model. The record is from RNAcentral. Lineage: Bacteria; Bacillati; Bacillota.